Non-coding RNA from Vicia faba (fava bean), 300 nucleotides. The record is from the annotation of a GenBank genome assembly. Lineage: Eukaryota; Viridiplantae; Streptophyta; Magnoliopsida; Fabales; Fabaceae.
CACAACUUUAAAUAUUCAAGCACAACUUUAAAUAUAAUGUAUCUAAUUAACGUUACAGGUACAAAAAUUCAUUUUACUACCAAUAUAAACUAUGAAAUGAAAAAAAUACAAUACAACAAUUUGCCAAUAAUGACCGGUAGUAAAGGAAAUCCAGAAAUUUUGGUGUGCACAUUCUAUACAGACGGCGUACCACUCAUAAUAUUCAAUAUUCAAUCUCCAACCAUGAAAGCAAAAGUGAAAGAGAAAAAACAUCCAAAACCAAACAUACAAAAAAAAAACAAAUAUUUGGUACAAAGUUAA